This 371-nucleotide ribosomal RNA is filed under the name uncultured eukaryote. RNAcentral's name for it is "SSU rRNA". It matches the Rfam family "Eukaryotic small subunit ribosomal RNA", at positions 587 to 972 of the family's 1831-position model. The record is from RNAcentral.
AGCUCCAAUAGCGUAUAUUAAAGUUGUUGCAGUUAAAAAGCUCGUAGUUGGAUUUCUGGCAGGGCGCCGAGCACCACUGCUGUGUGUGCGAGGACCCGGCCAUCCUUCUGUCAACUUUCGGUUGUGAUUCAUUUCACGCCAAAGCGAUCAGAUAAUUUACCUUGAGAAAAUUAGAGUGUUUCAGGCAGGCUUAGCCGGAAUACAUUAGCAUGGAAUAAUUGAAUAGGACUACUGUCCCGUUGUUGGUUACGUGGAUAGGAGUAAUGAUUAAUAGGGAUAGUUGGGGGCAUUAGUAUUUAUUAGCUAGAGGUGGAAUUCUCUAAUUUGAUAAAGACUAACUUAUGCGAAAGCAUUUGCCAAGGAUGUUUUCA